This 433-nucleotide ribosomal RNA is filed under the name uncultured bacterium. RNAcentral describes it as "partial 16S ribosomal RNA". It matches the Rfam family "Bacterial small subunit ribosomal RNA", at positions 29 to 507 of the family's 1533-position model. The record is from RNAcentral.
AGCGAACGCUGGCGGCAGGCCUAACACAUGCAAGUCGAACGGAUCCUUCGGGAUUAGUGGCGGACGGGUGAGUAACACGUGGGAACGUGCCCUUUGGUUCGGAACAACUCAGGGAAACUUGAGCUAAUACCGGAUGUGCCCUUCGGGGGAAAGAUUUAUCGCCAUUGGAGCGGCCCGCGUCUGAUUAGCUAGUUGGUGAGGUAACGGCCCACCAAGGCGACGAUCAGUAGCUGGUCUGAGAGGAUGAUCAGCCACACUGGGACUGAGACACGGCCCAGACUCCUACGGGAGGCAGCAGUGGGGAAUCUUGCGCAAUGGGCGAAAGCCUGACGCAGCCAUGCCGCGUGAAUGAUGAAGGUCUUAGGAUUGUAAAAUUCUUUCGGCGGGGACGAUAAUGACGGUACCCGCAGAAGAAGCUCCGGCUAACUUCGUG